GACGAACGCUGGCGGCGUGCUUAACACAUGCAAGUCGAACGAUGAGGCAGAGAUACUCUGACGUCGGUUCGAGUUUAACUUCGGAGUAAUAGCAGACUGGCGAGUACCGCGUGUUCAACCUACCUCUUACAAAGGGAUAGCCUCGGGAAACCGUGAUUAAUACCCUAUGACACGUUCAUAAGGCAUCUUCAGAAUGUUAAAGCUACGGGGGUAAGAGAUGGGCUCGCGUCGCAUUGGCUAGGUGGGGCGGUAACGGCACACCAAGGCGACGAGGGGUAACCGGGAUGAGAGGGGGAACGGUCACAUCUGAAAUGCGACACGGUCCCAUACGCGACGGGAGGGAGCAGUGGGGAAUAUUGCACAAUGGAGGGAGAUCUGAUGCAGCGACGUCGGGGAAGAGAUGAAGGAAUUCGUAAAGUAAAGCUGUGUUCUAUGGGAAGAAAAUGACGGUACCAGAGGAGAAAGCCCCGGCUAACUACGUG
This 482-nucleotide ribosomal RNA is filed under the name uncultured bacterium. Its description in RNAcentral is "partial 16S ribosomal RNA". It matches the Rfam family "Bacterial small subunit ribosomal RNA", at positions 28 to 507 of the family's 1533-position model. The record is from RNAcentral.